GGGGAAUUGUUCGCAAUGGGCGCAAGCCUGACGACGCAACACCGCGUGGAGGAUGAAGAUCUUCGGGUCGUAAACUCCUGUCGAAUGGGACGAACGGAUCGCGUGUGAACAACACGUGGUCGUGACGGUACCGUUAAAGGAAACCCCGGCUAACUCCGUGCCAGCAGCCGCGGUAAUACGGGGGGGGUAAGCGUUGUUCGGAAUUACUGGGCGUAAAGGGCUCGUAGGCGGCCAACUAAGUCGGACGUGAAAUCCCCGGGCUCAACCCGGGAACUGCGUCCGAUACUGGUUGGCUUGAAUCCGGGAGAGGGAUGCGGAAUUCCAGGUGUAGCGGUGAAAUGCGUAGAUAUCUGGAGGAACACCGGUGGCGAAGGCGGCAUCCUGGACCGGCAUUGACGCUGAGGCGCGAAAGCCAGGGGAGCAAA
Molecule: ribosomal RNA, 425 nt
Filed under: uncultured bacterium
Lineage: Bacteria
Description: bacterial SSU rRNA
Rfam family: Bacterial small subunit ribosomal RNA
Source: RNAcentral